UUCACUUUUUACGUGAACUUGUUCAAAGUUCAGUUCACAAAAUUUUAAAAUGAACUAGUUCAGUUAAAUGUUCAUAAUUCAAAAUUAACUAGUUCAUAGUUCUUUUUUUCAAUAUGUUGCUGUGAGCUAUUAUUUUUCUCCGGUAUUUUGAACAUUGAUCCCCCUUUCUGGUUUGUCUAGGAUGAAAUAGAGUGGUUGAAUCAAGUAUUGUAGCGAAAUACAGUUUGUACCGUGUUUUAUUGCGCAUUUAGCGCAUUUUGUAAAUCCCAUUGAUUUCUCGCUUCAAACACUUAAGGUACGAACACACCAAACGCGUAACCCGCGUAAGAUUUACGCGCGUAACGCAGCUAAAAUGUUGCUUGACCAUUUUGUGUCAAAAAUGGUCCUACGCAGCUACGCGCCUGUGGCUGUGCUGGAUUUAGGAGUCCGAGGAAGGAAACCCAAACGCCGCCGUGUUUGGGUGCAUGAUAGAGCUUGGAUCGGGUUGGAUUAAAUUAUCUCAGAUAUAAAUAACAAUAAUCGGGUUAAAUAACUUCACAUGGUGUGUCUGGUGUGUUUCCAGCAUUCGUAGUGUUGAUCAGCAGAGAUAUAGUCCGCCAAGACGUUGAGGUUGCAUAGCAACCAGAGACUCUGUCCAUGCAAGUGAAUGGAGCGUUCCCUCUUCUUCAUAACUAUCAAACCAAACAUCCUUCACAUUCACAGAGCGAACAUUAUGAAAGUAAAAUGCACAUUUCUCGCUAAAAAUGUUUACAUAAACGCAUUUAAUGGCGUAACUAUGUUACUAUUUCCACCCAGAAUAAAGAAAGAUGUCGGCCGUAUGCUUCUGUGCAAGCGUCACUACUCUCUGCCAGUGACGUCGGAUCAAGCUCCACGCUGAUUGGCUAUCGCGGCUAAGCGUCACGCGUUGGAGCGUUGAAAGUUCAAUUUUUUGAACUCCGGGCGUAGGCGCGUAGGUGCGUUAGGUGCGUAUAUACGCAGCUCAUACGCGGCUAACGCGGCUAAAAUGUUGCUUUAGCGCAUGUAACGCAUCUACGCAGCUCAUACGCGCGUAAACCAAUGGU
Molecule: long non-coding RNA, 1061 nt
Organism: Gadus macrocephalus (Pacific cod)
Lineage: Eukaryota; Metazoa; Chordata; Actinopteri; Gadiformes; Gadidae
Exons: 2
Source: RefSeq, a predicted model, not a curated record